UACGUAGGGUGCGAGCGUUGUCCGGAAUUAUUGGGCGUAAAGAGCUUGUAGGCGGUUUGUCGCGUCUGCUGUGAAAUGUACCGGCUCAACCGGUGCCUUGCGGCGGAUACUGCAUAGCUGGAGUACUGGAGAGGGAAGUGGAAUUCCCGGUGUAGCGGUGAAAUGCGCAGAGAUCAGGAGGAAUACCGAAGGCGAAGGCAGUCUUCCAAGCCGUUAUUGACGCUCAACUGCGAAGGUGUGGGUAUCAAACAGGAUUAGAUA
This 261-nucleotide ribosomal RNA is filed under the name uncultured prokaryote. RNAcentral describes it as "partial 16S ribosomal RNA". It matches the Rfam family "Bacterial small subunit ribosomal RNA", at positions 524 to 784 of the family's 1533-position model. The record is from RNAcentral.